UUCUCUCCUAUCUCUCGUCGCGGAUGAACCCUGGUUUUUCCGGACAAAAAUCAUGGUUUGCCAUCGUCAAUAAAUCGUUAUCUGUUUAGGUCGAGAUUUAAAGUCGGGUCUAUCUGUUUCAUGUUUCAUUUCAUCCCGCUGGAAUUUCAAACCAUUUAAAUCCCAAAAUCAAAACCCUAGAUAACAGUUCUAAAACCACAUCACCAUGGAGAAAACUAGACAAAUUUCUCCUUCCUAGAUUAUUUAUACAGUCACGGAGGUCUUUUGCUUGAAGAGAUUGAAUCGAUGUCACCGGUUUGAUAGGUUCAUACUAACGGGUUCAGAGGAUGGGAGCAUGCGAAUCUGGGAAACGAAAAAUGUAUUGACAUCAUAGAUCCAGAGGAACAAAUGAAGUCAAAGGAAGCCUUCCCAUGGGCUAGUUCAAGUGAAAGCUGGCUGGUGCGUUUGUAUCACAGUUCCAUCGUUGGAUACCCAUAUGGAAGUGGAUUGCAGAGGUUGAUGUGACUAGAGCAGAAAAUGUCUUGGAGGAUAACAUGAAGAUUGUAUUUGAGCAAAACAAGGAGAGACUUGCUUUUCUGAAAUGGGGAUCCACUGCUUUCUGUAAUAUGCUCGUUGUUCCUCCAGAAUCUGUCAUUAUGCACCAGGUUAGCUUUAACAAUUGAUAGUAUGUACAACAGAUUGCUCAAGAUUACAGUUAAUCCAGGUUCCAGACUCCGAUAUUGGAUCCCACUUUGGUAUGCUACUUGAGAAUCAGGAAGGUUCUUUGAGACAGAUUUUUAAGCUAGCGAAAAGUUUCAUGCUCAUAAGUUGGUAUUGGCUGCUUGAUCCCCUGUAUAUGGAGAUGAAUUGAUGGAUGGUAUGGAAAAGACAAAUGUGAGGUAGUUGAAGAUCUUUGAGACAGAUUUUUAAGCUAAGCAUCAUUUUAGUUUUUAUGCUUUUAGAUUUAAGUUUACUUCAGUUUGCUCAUAAGUUGUCUUGUACAGAAACUAUAAGGUUAUUUAUAUCCAUUUUGUGUAGCAUCCCUUGCUUCAUGUGUCUUAUCUUUCUCUUUUAAUCAAAUGGGCGAUUCAGACGAGGCUGCACCUGAUCAUUUAUCCCUUGUCACUAAAAUUACUAAGUGUAUCUCCUUAGAGCCUCUGGUGGAAUGUUCAUCCAUUACUUGGCGAAAACAGCUACUAUCAAGAACAUGUACGUAAUUCUGGUAUUCACUUCUUUAUUGGCUAUGAUGGCAUCUGUAUUUCGUAUGAUGAAUGCUGAUCACGUUCUUUUAUUGUCGUCUUUGUGGGUAUAUAUAAGCAAGUAUUAGAACAGAUGCCUCGAGUCAGUUUCAUCGUUGGAUGCUCAUAUGGAAGUGGAUUGCAGAGGUUGAGGUGAAUGAUUCUGCUACUUUAACAAGUUAUACUACCACUUCAUAGUAGUACGAGGCUACUGUCCAAGCAAGGCGUGUUCACAUAACAUUCGAAAGUCAGCCCUCACAGCAAAUCAUUAACAUCUGUAUGAAGCUCAGAACAGCAAACAUAAGCAAAUCAUUAACUUAUGGACAUGCACAGGUGGUGGCUGAGCAUUUUUGAAUGGAGGAAGUAGCUGGACAAUAGAAAAUAGAAAGCUAACCUCUGAGAGGAGAUGAAAGAAAGUUUUGAUAAGAUUGGGCAUCAGAUUGUGGAUCCAGUUACUCAGUUAAUAAUGCAAUCUAACUCAGCCUGCAGUAACCUGCAGUAAGCAUGAAUUUGGAAGGAAAAGUUUAAGGUAUGUACACAUUCAACUUGGAAGGCUUGGUUCUGAAAGUCUUGCCACCUUGCUCAAGAAGAGGGGGAGGAUGAAAAAGGAUCUACAUCUAUGUGCAGUGCACUCCAAUCCCUUUCUUCUUUUUUAGUACACGAUAGAGAGAGUUUUGGUCUUUGUCUUUCUGAUGUAUCUGGGAACCGGAAAUAUCUUGUAUUUGAGUAUGCACUUGGAAGACAAUGGAAUGAGAAGGAUUUGGUGUUGUUCUUGCCAGUCUGAUUUUGCACCCUUGGUGCCACCCUGUGCGACCCAAUUUAAAAUGGGUAUUGUGAAACCUUGAUUCGUGUCCUUUUCUUGUUUAUUUUAAAUGAUUUUUUGAUUUUAAGGUUUGGGUGUAAGGGUUUUGGUUAUCUGUUAUAUCUAAUGGAAUUAUUCUUGGCUGUGGAUAAAAGUUCGGCAGCAAAUUUCUGCCUUGCUAAUGGAUUUACCUUGAUCAGGUAGCCAGGGUUUUGAGUAUAUUCAUAUAUUUGUAGAAUCGUUGUUUUUUGAUUUAGUUGAGAGUAGAUUUAAGAUGUUAUUGUUUGUAGGUGGGUUUCCAGUAAUAGAAAACAUGGAUUCCGAGACCA
Long non-coding RNA from Papaver somniferum (opium poppy), 2348 nucleotides. RefSeq lists it as uncharacterized. The record is from RefSeq and is a predicted model, not a curated record. Lineage: Eukaryota; Viridiplantae; Streptophyta; Magnoliopsida; Ranunculales; Papaveraceae. The transcript is spliced from 7 exons.